This 292-nucleotide ribosomal RNA is filed under the name uncultured bacterium. RNAcentral's name for it is "partial 16S ribosomal RNA". The record is from RNAcentral.
GGACUACAGGGGUAUCUAAUCCUGUUUGCUCCCCACGCUUUCGCGCCUCAGCGUCAGUUACAGCCCAGGUGGCCGCCUUCGCCACUGGUGUUCCUGCGAAUAUCUACGAAUUUCACCUCUACACUCGCAAUUCCACCACCCUCUGCUGAACUCUAGCCAAGCCGUAUCAAAUGCAAUUCCUAGGUUAAGCCCAGGGAUUUCACAUCUGACGUGCUUGGCCGCCUACGCGCCCUUUACGCCCAGUCAUUCCGAACAACGCUAGCACCCUUCGUAUUACCGCGGCUGCUGGCAC